Molecule: transfer RNA, 74 nt
Filed under: bacterium
Lineage: Bacteria
Also listed under: 8 other names
Description: tRNA-Pro
Rfam family: tRNA
About the family: Transfer RNA (tRNA) molecules are approximately 80 nucleotides in length. Their secondary structure includes four short double-helical elements and three loops (D, anti-codon, and T loops). Further hydrogen bonds mediate the characteristic L-shaped molecular structure. tRNAs have two regions of fundamental functional importance: the anti-codon, which is responsible for specific mRNA codon recognition, and the 3' end, to which the tRNAs corresponding amino acid is attached (by aminoacyl-tRNA synthetases). tRNAs cope with the degeneracy of the genetic code in two manners: having more than one tRNA (with a specific anti-codon) for a particular amino acid; and 'wobble' base-pairing, i.e. permitting non-standard base-pairing at the 3rd anti-codon position.
Source: RNAcentral
CGGGAUGUAGCACAGCCCGGUAGUGCGCUACGUUCGGGACGUAGAGGUCGCUGGUUCGAAUCCAGUCAUCCCGA